Molecule: ribosomal RNA, 424 nt
Filed under: uncultured Limnohabitans sp.
Lineage: Bacteria; Pseudomonadati; Pseudomonadota; Betaproteobacteria; Burkholderiales; Comamonadaceae
Description: bacterial SSU rRNA
Rfam family: Bacterial small subunit ribosomal RNA
Source: RNAcentral
CGACGAGUUUGAUCCUGGCUCAGAUUGAACGCUGGCGGAAUGCUUUACACAUGCAAGUCGAACGGUAGAGGGGGCAACCCCUCGAGAGUGGCGAACGGGUGGGUAAUAUAUCGGAACGUGCCCAGUCGUGGGGGAUAACGUAGUGAAAAUUACGCUAAUACCGCAUACGAUCUACGGAUGAAAGCGGGGACUCGCAAGAGCCUCGCGCGAUUGGAGCGGCCGAUAUCAGAUUAGGUAGUUGGUGGGGUAACGGCUUACCAUGGCUACGAUAGGUAGGGGGUCCUGAGAGGGAGAUCCCCCGACACUGGUACUGAGACACGGACCAGACUCCUACGGGGAGGCAGCAGUGAGGAAUAUUGGUCAAUGGGGCGCAAGCCUGAACCAGCCAUGCCCGCGUGCAGGAAGAAUGCCCUAUGGUUGUAAA